AGGGCGCAGGGCGAAUGCCUUGGCACUGGGAGCCGAUGAAAGACGUGAUAAGCUGCGAUAAGCUUCGGGGAGCUGCAAAUAAGCAUUGAUCCGGAGAUUUCUGAAUGAGGAAACUCACCUGGGUUCAUACUCAGGUACGUUAUACUGAACUUAAAAAUAGGUAUAUCGAGGGAACCGCCUGAACUGAAACAUCUAAGUAGGGCGAGGAAGAGACAUCAAACGAGAUUCCGUAAGUAGUGGCGAGCGAACGCGGAAGAGGGCAAACCGGAAGUAGAAAUACUUCCGGGGUACGGACUGCUUUUAGGACUUAAUCUGUUAACCGAACGGCAUGGGAAGGCCGGUCAGAGAGUGUGAGAACCACGUAGGUGAAAACGGAGAGAGCUGCGCAGGAUCCAGAGUACGGCCAGACACGUGAAACCUGGUCGGAAUACGGGGGGACCACCCUCCAACCCUAAAUACUACCCAGUGACCGAUAGCGUAUAGUACUGUGAAGGAAAGGUGAAAAGCACCCCGGGAGGGGAGUGAAAAAGAACCUGAAACCCUGUGCCUACAAGCACCUAGAGCACGUCAAUGUGUGAUAGGGUACUUUUUGUAGAACGGUCCGGCGAGCGAUUGUAUGCAGCAAGGUUAAGGACUUAAGGUCUGGAGCCGAAGCGAAAGCGAGUUUGAAAAGGGCGUUAAGUUGCAUAUAAUGGGCCCGAAACCGGGUGACCUACCCAUGGUCAGGUUGAAGUGGAAGUAAAAUUCCAUGGAGGACCGAACCGACCUCCGUUGAAAAGGCGGCGGAUGAACUGUGGGUAGCGGAGAAAUUCCAAUCGAACCCGGAGAUAGCUGGUUCUCCCCGAAAUAGUUUUAGGACUAGCCUCAAGUUAGAUACCUGGAGGUAAAGCACUGAAUAGCCUAGCGGCCGAGAGGUUAGCGAAGCUUAUCAAACUCAGAAUGCCAGAGUAUUGAUGCUUGGGAGUCAGACAGUGUCAGAUAAAUGUCAUUGUCAAAAGGGAAACAGCCCAGAUCUACAGCUAAGGUCCCAAAGUCAGGUUAAGUGGAAAACGAUGUGAAGAUACGUAGACAACCAGGAUGUUGGCUCAGAAGCAGCCACACAUUCAAAGAGUGCGUAAUAGCUCACUGGUCGAGCGUCUUUGCGCGGAGAAUUUAACGGGGCUAAACCUGACACCGAAGCUUAGGCAAUACAGUAAUGUAUUGGGUAGGGGAGCGUUGUAUACGCGGUGAAACAGUAGCGCAAGCGGCUGUGGAGUGUAUAGAAGUGAGAAUGCCGGAAUGAGUAGCGCGAAUGCAGUGAGAAUCUGCAUGGCCGAAAGCCUCAGGUUUCUGGAGGAAGGUUCGUCCGCUCCAGGUUAGUCGGGAGCUAAGGUGAGGCCUAACGGCGUAGCCGAUGCACAGACGGUAGAGAUUCCGUCACCACCAAAAGAGUUAAACACAGGGACACAUUUGAAGUCUCGGAGCCGGGUGUUGGUUCCGGUAGCGAUCGAGGGAAAUUAGUACCGAAGUCCGGGAUGGAAGAUGGCGAGAAAAGCUGUGUGUAUUUCUGCGGUGCCCGUACCGCAAACCGACACAGGUAGGUAGGAAGAAGAUUCUAAGGCCAACGGGAGAAGGGUUGUUAAGGAACUCGGCAAAUUGACCCCGUAACUUCGGGAGAAGGGGUGCUCUAGAGAUAGAGCCGCAGAGAAUCGGCCCAAGCAACUGUUUACCAAAAACACAGGUUUGUGCUAAAUCGAAAGAUGACGUAUACGAGCUGACGCCUGCCCGGUGCUGGAAGGUUAAGAGGAGAUGUGCAAGCAUUGAAUCGAAGCCCCAGUGAACGGCGGCCGUAACUAUAACGGUCCUAAGGUAGCGAAAUUCCUUGUCAGGUAAGUUCUGACCCGCAUGAAAGGCGUAAUGAUUUGGGCACUGUCUCGACAGCCCGCCCGGCGAAAUUGUAGUACCGGUGAAGAUGCCGGUUACCCGCGACAAGACGGAAAGACCCCAUGGAGCUUUACUGUAGCCUAAUAUUGGGUUUCGAUGUUGCAUGCACAGGAUAGAUGGGAACAACGGGAGGAGUAUUGAACAUUGAACCGCCGUCGAUGUGAGUCUGAUAGUUCAGCAUGGUCGGGAUAUAGCGGGAUACCUUACCCAGCGCGUCAUUCUUCACGAUGACGAAUGUAACACCGGCAGGAGCCAGAUUUUUCUGCGCACCACCAUAGAUACAGAUAUAUUUGGAAACGUCGAUCGGACGAGAGAAAAUAUCAGAAGACAUAUCGGCCACCAUCGGAACGUUUACGUCCAAAUCCUCUUUCAGUUCCGUACCGUAGAUUGUAUUGUUGGUAGUGAUGUGGAAAUAGUCUGCAUCAGCAGGCACUGUAUAGUCCUUCGGAAUAUAAGUAUAAGUAGAUUCAGCGGUAGAAGCGACUUCAACUACUUCACCGAAUGCCUUAGCCAUCUUCUUUUCACUUUCUUUGGUUGUAAGGAAUCCCUUAACAUUGGUAAGUGAAAGUACAGGAAUCUCAAAUGCGUCACAGAAAUUAAUCAUCUCUGCCGCUUUUUCGCAGCCUUCCGCAGUAAGAACCUCAUCAAACUUUUCUACUGAUUCGCCAUUGUCAAAAAGCUCUGUUCUGUUAGCCACAACACCGAUUGUAGCACCAUUAAGCUUUAUAAA
RNAcentral lists this ribosomal RNA (2653 nucleotides) under human gut metagenome. Its description in RNAcentral is "bacterial LSU rRNA". It matches the Rfam family "Bacterial large subunit ribosomal RNA", at positions 14 to 2217 of the family's 2925-position model. The record is from RNAcentral.